RNAcentral lists this microRNA (21 nucleotides) under Gallus gallus (chicken). RNAcentral describes it as "gga-miR-12251-3p". The record is from miRBase by way of RNAcentral. Lineage: Eukaryota; Metazoa; Chordata; Aves; Galliformes; Phasianidae.
ACCUGCGAUCCCUGCCUUUGA